CCUACGGGAGGCAGCAGUAAGGAAUAUUGGUCAAUGGAGGCAACUCUGAACCAGCCAUGCCGCGUGCAGGAAGAAGGCCCUAUGGGUCGUAAACUGCUUUUGUACCAGAGAAAACCCGAGUACGUGUACUCGGUUGAUAGUAUGGUAAGAAUAAGCAUCGGCUAACUUCGUGCCAGCAGCCGCGGUAAGACGAAGGAUGCAAGCGUUAUCCGGAUUCAUUGGGUUUAAAGGGUGCGUAGGCGGACUGAUAAGUCAGUGGUGAAAUCUCUCGGCUUAACCGAGAAACUGCCAUUGAUACUGUUAGUCUAGAGUAUAGAUGACGUUGGCGGAAUAUGACAUGUAGUGGUGAAAUACUUAGAUAUGUCAUAGAACACCGAUUGCGAAGGCAGCUAACGAAACUAUAACUGACGCUGAGGCACGAAAGUGCGGGGAUCAAACAGGAUUAGAUACCCUGGUAGUCCGCACCGUAAACGAUGAUUACUCGUUGUUGGCAAUAUGACCGUCAGCGACCAAGCGAAAGCGAANAAGUAAUCCACCUGGGAGUACGCCGGCGAACGGUGAAACUCAAAGGAAAGUUGAGG
Molecule: ribosomal RNA, 581 nt
Filed under: uncultured bacterium
Lineage: Bacteria
Description: bacterial SSU rRNA
Rfam family: Bacterial small subunit ribosomal RNA
Source: RNAcentral